GCCUCGUUCGUCUAUUGGCGGAGGACGCCGCACUUUCACUGCGGAAAGACGGGUUCGACUCCCGUACGGGGCA
RNAcentral lists this transfer RNA (73 nucleotides) under Myxococcus sp. AM011. RNAcentral describes it as "tRNA-Glu". It matches the Rfam family "tRNA". From Rfam's summary of the family: Transfer RNA (tRNA) molecules are approximately 80 nucleotides in length. Lineage: Bacteria; Pseudomonadati; Myxococcota; Myxococcia; Myxococcales; Myxococcaceae. The record is from RNAcentral.